This 58-nucleotide transfer RNA is filed under the name Urocitellus parryii (Arctic ground squirrel). RNAcentral describes it as "Spermophilus parryii (Arctic ground squirrel) tRNA". It matches the Rfam family "tRNA", at positions 8 to 63 of the family's 71-position model. From Rfam's summary of the family: Transfer RNA (tRNA) molecules are approximately 80 nucleotides in length. Their secondary structure includes four short double-helical elements and three loops (D, anti-codon, and T loops). RNAcentral also lists the same sequence under 2 other names. Lineage: Eukaryota; Metazoa; Chordata; Mammalia; Rodentia; Sciuridae. The record is from Rfam by way of RNAcentral.
UAUCUCAGUUGGUAGAGUGUUUGCCUUGCAUGCAGAAGGCCCUGGGUUCAAUCCCCAG